RNAcentral lists this ribosomal RNA (832 nucleotides) under uncultured Bacteroidota bacterium. Its description in RNAcentral is "bacterial SSU rRNA". It matches the Rfam family "Bacterial small subunit ribosomal RNA", at positions 121 to 956 of the family's 1533-position model. Lineage: Bacteria; Pseudomonadati; Bacteroidota. The record is from RNAcentral.
GCAAUCUACCUUUUACAGAGGGAUAGCCCAGAGAAAUUUGGAUUAAUACCUCAUAGUAUUAUGAAAUGGCAUCAUUUUAUAAUUAAAGUAACAACGGUUCAAGAUGGGCAUGCGUCCCAUUAGCUAGAUGGUAAGGUAACGGCUUACCAUGGCAACGAUGGGUAGGGGUCCUGAGAGGGAGAUCCCCCACACUGGUACUGAGACACGGACCAGACUCCUACGGGAGGCAGCAGUGAGGAAUAAUGGACAAUGGGCGCAAGCCUGAUCCAGCCAUGCCGCGUGCAGGAUGACGGUCCUAUGGAUUGUAAACUGCUUUUGUACGAGAAGAAACACUGCUUCGUGAAGCAGCUUGACGGUAUCGUAAGAAUAAGGAUCGGCUAACUCCGUGCCAGCAGCCGCGGUAAUACGGAGGAUCCAAGCGUUAUCCGGAAUCAUUGGGUUUAAAGGGUCCGUAGGCGGUCUUGUAAGUCAGUGGUGAAAGCCCAUCGCUCAACGGUGGAACGGCCAUUGAUACUGCAGGACUUGAAUUAUUAGGAAGUAACUAGAAUAUGUAGUGUAGCGGUGAAAUGCUUAGAGAUUACAUGGAAUACCAAUUGCGAAGGCAGGUUACUACUAAUGGAUUGACGCUGAUGGACGAAAGCGUGGGUAGCGAACAGGAUUAGAUACCCUGGUAGUCCACGCCGUAAACGAUGGAUACUAGCUGUUGGAAGCAAUUUCAGUGGCUAAGCGAAAGUGAUAAGUAUCCCACCUGGGGAGUACGUUCGCAAGAAUGAAACUCAAAGGAAUUGACGGGGGCCCGCACAAGCGGUGGAGCAUGUGGUUUAAUUCGAUG